UACAGAGGGGGCAAGCGUUGUUCGGAAUUACUGGGCGUAAAGGGCGCGUAGGCGGCCGCCUAAGUCAGACGUGAAAUCCCUCGGCUCAACCGGGGAACUGCGUCUGAUACUGGGUGGCUUGAAUCUGGGAGAGGGAUGCGGAAUUCCAGGUGUAGCGGUGAAAUGCGUAGAUAUCAGGAGGAACACCAGCGGCGAAGGCGGCGCUCUGGGCUGGAACUGACGCUGAGGAGCGAAAGCGUGGGGAGCGAACAGG
This 253-nucleotide ribosomal RNA is filed under the name uncultured bacterium. RNAcentral describes it as "partial 16S ribosomal RNA". It matches the Rfam family "Bacterial small subunit ribosomal RNA", at positions 524 to 776 of the family's 1533-position model. The record is from RNAcentral.